This 21-nucleotide microRNA is filed under the name Hordeum vulgare. RNAcentral describes it as "hvu-miR5051". The record is from miRBase by way of RNAcentral. Lineage: Eukaryota; Viridiplantae; Streptophyta; Magnoliopsida; Poales; Poaceae.
UUUGGCACCUUGAAACUGGGA